This 433-nucleotide ribosomal RNA is filed under the name uncultured bacterium. Its description in RNAcentral is "partial 16S ribosomal RNA". It matches the Rfam family "Bacterial small subunit ribosomal RNA", at positions 29 to 507 of the family's 1533-position model. The record is from RNAcentral.
AACGAACGCUGGCGGCAUGCCUAACACAUGCAAGUCGAACGAGACCUUCGGGUCUAGUGGCGCACGGGUGCGUAACGCGGGGGAACCUGCCCGUAGGUUCGGAAUAACUCCCAGAAAGGGGUGCUAAUACCGGAUAAUGUCUUCGGACCAAAGAUUUAUCGCCUUUGGAUGGGCCCGCGUUGGAUUAGCUAGUUGGUAGGGUAAAAGCCUACCAAGGCGACGAUCCAUAGCUGGUCUGAGAAGAUGAUCAGCCACACUGGGACUGAGACACGGCCCAGACUCCUACGGGAGGCAGCAGUGGGGAAUAUUGGACAAUGGGCGAAAGCCUGAUCCAGCAAUGCCGCGUGAGUGAUGAAGGCCUUAGGGUUGUAAAGCUCUUUUACCCGGGAUGAUAAUGACAGUACCGGGAGAAUAAGCUCCGGCUAACUCCGUG